This is a non-coding RNA of Paramuricea clavata, 257 nucleotides long. The record is from the annotation of a GenBank genome assembly. NCBI's taxonomy places the organism in Eukaryota, Metazoa, Cnidaria, Anthozoa, Malacalcyonacea, Plexauridae.
CCUUAGACUCAGCUGGCUUCUUGUGAUGUUUCUUGUGUUUCUUCCCCAUGUUAAGAGCGAUUUAUCAAGCCAGAAACAGCAGAAUAAUACAAAAAUAAACUACUAAAAAGACUACAUGUUUUCAGACAUUUUUGAAAAUUUCACACAAAAGCACAAACGAACACGCGGUUCUUUGUAAACACUGUUGCGGAUACUUUAUGUAAUUUACACCAAAUGAACAUUAGUAAUCCAGGCCCGAUUUUAGGGCGGUGUUCUUU